UUUGCCAUUGAAAAAACUGGUGAUAAACCUUCUACUGUAGAAACUUCCUAAAAUAUAUACAUAGAUAAACGGAAUUUAAAUGGAGUCACCAUAUAAUGGGGAAUAAGCUGCCCCCAACUAGACAUCUUAUGCCAACAAGUAAAGCCUCCACUACCAGAGAUGAGUUAUUUCCUGUUAAGUCAUUGGUCUCCCCAAACUCACAAGAUAUUGCCAAGGCUAUGUUGGUUGCUCUCCACAUCCUGACGUUAAGGCCCUAUUGCUGAAGAAACACACAAGUAUUGAACAUGGAGACAUGUAACUGGUACCCAUCUAGAAGCUUUGUCACUACUUGCUAGCAUCCUCGAUGCUGGAAGGUACUCUAACACUACCAGAGGAGAAUUAUAAUCAUCAGUACGACCCAGCUGCAAACCCAAUGACCCACACGGUGACCUGCCUGCGAGAUACGCUGGUGCAGUAGAGGCGCAGAUGCUAUGGGAGUAGCCGGCCCUUUUUGGUUGGAUUUAAGACCCAGUUCAUGAAGUGGAAAUGAUACCUGAUGCCAAAGCAGCCAAGAACCUGAGAUUCGGUCAGUGUCUAGAGAGAUGACAGAGAAUUAUGAUUCCCUCGUCAGAGAAGCUCAUUCUUGCCAUCAAUGGAAAUUAAGACAGAGGCCCACGACUGGACAAUGUGUAGAAGGAGAAUAAAAGCAUCUGACUGAGGAAUCUGAAGACCAGUGGACAAAUGAGACAUUGGAAGAAGAAAGAUGAACUAUCAAAAGAAAAUGUCCCAAGAAAAGGAGUAAAUUGGCCUAAUGGUAUAACACAUUUCCA
This is a long non-coding RNA of Mesocricetus auratus (golden hamster), 809 nucleotides long. RefSeq lists it as uncharacterized. The record is from RefSeq and is a predicted model, not a curated record. The transcript has 3 exons. NCBI's taxonomy places the organism in Eukaryota, Metazoa, Chordata, Mammalia, Rodentia, Cricetidae.